AGAAAAUCAAACUUAGAUAAUACAGAUAAUUUAUCCUGGUUUAGCCUUUCUGCCUAUUCCAGUCCGGUCCUUCUUCUCCUCGAAGUACUGAUUUCACUAUCACUUGGCCUCUUGAAUAAGGCAAGACCAAGGGCGCUUACAAUCACACAAAACUUCUUUUACAACCUCUCAAUAAAGCUCACAAUUACAAAUCGAUGAACAAUUAGGACUUAGAUAAUUUUUCUGAAGUUGUAUCCCAAGCAACAUCCAAACCCCCCUUUAAAUACACUAGCC
RNAcentral lists this long non-coding RNA (273 nucleotides) under Ananas comosus (pineapple). RNAcentral's name for it is "long non-coding RNA (ACOM_LNC005656)". The record is from RNAcentral. Lineage: Eukaryota; Viridiplantae; Streptophyta; Magnoliopsida; Poales; Bromeliaceae.